RNAcentral lists this transfer-messenger RNA (372 nucleotides) under Oscillospiraceae. RNAcentral describes it as "Ruminococcus_C sp000433635 Standard tmRNA". It matches the Rfam family "transfer-messenger RNA". From Rfam's summary of the family: Bacterial tmRNA, also known as 10Sa RNA or SsrA, is named for its dual tRNA and mRNA-like properties. Its role is to liberate the mRNA from a stalled ribosome. Lineage: Bacteria; Bacillati; Bacillota; Clostridia; Eubacteriales. RNAcentral also lists the same sequence under 1 other name. The record is from RNAcentral.
GGGGGCGUAAAGGUUUCGACGGGGACUGUGCAGUGGAAUAAGCGAGCAGAGUUGGCAUCGUCUCUUUAAAACGAAGCACGUUUUAAAUUAAACGCUAAAAGAAAUAUCUCUGUAAGCUUCAACAGAAGCUUACAGGUAGCUGCCUAAGUCAGCUACUGUCGCCCACAGGAGUACCACGGCCUGUGCUGCGGCAUAACGCAGUGGUGAACGAUUCUUCGGCCUGUUCACACCGUUGAAUGGCAUUUGAACUACGGACAGUUGCAGCCUGUUUAUCGGCGGCUUUUGUCCGGAAUUUGAAAAGAUAAACUACGCUCGUAGAAAGUUGCAGGAAUCGGUUUUCGGACACGAGUUCGAUUCUCGUCGCCUCCACCA